This 482-nucleotide ribosomal RNA is filed under the name uncultured bacterium. Its description in RNAcentral is "partial 16S ribosomal RNA". It matches the Rfam family "Bacterial small subunit ribosomal RNA", at positions 28 to 523 of the family's 1533-position model. The record is from RNAcentral.
AAUGAACGUUGGCGGCGUGGAUUAGGCAUGCAAGUCGAGCGAGAACCGUAGCAAUACGGGGACAGCGGCGAAAGGGACAGUAAUGUGUAGGUACCUACCCCCGGGUUCGGGAUAGCUGCGGGAAACUGCAGGUAAUACCGAAUAAUGUCUUCGGACCACAGGUGUGAUUCCACCCGGGGAGGGGCCUGCAUCCUAUUAGCUGGUUGGUGGGGUAACGGCUUACCAAGGCGACGAUGGGUAGCGGGUGUGAGAGCAUGACCCGCGUCAUUGGGACUGAGACACUGCCCAGACACCUACGGGUGGCUGCAGUCGAGGAUCUUCGGCAAUGGGCGCAAGCCUGACCGAGCGACGCCGCGUGCGGGAUGAAGGCCUUCGGGUUGUAAACCGCUGUCGUAGAGGAGGAAAUGCAGGAGGGUUCUCCCUUCUGUUUGACCUAUUCUAGGAGGAAGUACGGGCUAAGUUCGUGCCAGCCGCCGCCGUAA